RNAcentral lists this ribosomal RNA (119 nucleotides) under Lepisosteus oculatus (spotted gar). Lineage: Eukaryota; Metazoa; Chordata; Actinopteri; Semionotiformes; Lepisosteidae. The record is from RNAcentral.
GCCAGCAGCCAUAUCACUCUGCAGCUCACAACUGGCAGCCCACUGAAGCUCAGCGGGUGUGAGCUUGGUCAGUACCUGGAGGGGAGACCUCCUGGGAAAAACUAAGGUUGCUGCUGGAA